This 2507-nucleotide unclassified non-coding RNA is filed under the name Harpegnathos saltator (Jerdon's jumping ant). RNAcentral's name for it is "glycine receptor subunit alpha-3, transcript variant X3". Lineage: Eukaryota; Metazoa; Arthropoda; Insecta; Hymenoptera; Formicidae. The record is from RNAcentral.
UGUUUUCCGACAAAUUUGCUCGCUCGGCCUCAAGCAAGGAUCAGUCGGGACCUAUUAGUGGUACAGCUAAGUGGCGAAGGAGCUUAGAAUGACUCUCGGAGGAGGAGUCUUCGUCUUGGCGCUCUUUGUUCAUCUGUCAUGGUCACCGUUGCUCGCGACCAAAAUAUCGGGAAAUUGUCCAUCAUUCGGUAGCUCUAUGACCCAGACGGAACUCCUGCAGGAAUUGGCGAACGAGUGCCGCUACGACAAGAUGGUCAGGCCGCCGGGGGUGAUGAACGCCACUGACCCAAUCAAAAUUUACACCAAAGCUUUCAUUUACACGAUCAAAUCUAACAUGGCGAAAACUCUGCAAUUCGACGUGCAUCUGAUGCUGCAAUUCCGAUACCUGGACAAGCGACUCAAGUUCUCGGACAUAGCCCCUUACUUGACGCAAAUAUACGGCGGACAAUCAGCUCAUGACUUGAUCUGGACCCCGACUGUGUACGUCGCGAACGAACGCACCUCGGCCGUGAUGGGGAGCGGUGUGAAAGAUCUGCUGAUCUCCAUCAACCCUCAAGGCAUGGUCAUGUUGAACACAAGGCUAGAAGCCACCAUGAAUUGCGGGCUUCGAUUGGAGAAGUUCCCGUUCGACGUGCAAGAGUGCCCGCUGGUCUUCGAGAGUUGGACCCACAACGUGAACGAGAUGGUGUUGGACUGGGAUGAGGAGCCAAUCGUCAUCGCGAGCAACUUAUACCUGACGGAGUACAAGCUCGUAGGCACGUGGGUCAACAGCUCCGGGAUAUCCUACACGCCGUCGCAAUAUCAUUACGGACAUUUCGCCGGCAAUUUUAGCUCGAUAAAUAUUACAUUUAAACUGGCUCGUGAAAUGGGAUUCUUCAUGAUGGAUUAUUACGUUCCGUCCAUACUAAUUGUGGUGAUCUCUUGGGUGUCCUUUUGGUUGCACGUGGACGCGAGCGCGCCACGAAUAGUCCUGGGAACGAACACUAUCCUGGCGUUCAUGACGCUCGCAUCGAAAGUGGAGAAUUCCUUACCGAAGGUCUCCUAUAUAAAGGCCAGCGAGAUUUGGUUCCUGGGCUGCACUAUAUUUUUAUUUGCAGCGAUGGUCGAGUUCGCCUUCGUUAACACCAUAUAUAGAAGGAAGAAGAACGUACCUCUGAAGAAGGUGAAUAGCAAGUACAUCCUGAAGUCGACUUUGACGCCACGUCUGGCGAGAAAGCAGUUCCAGAAGAAUACAAGCGGACUGGAAAGAUCACGAUCAUGGUCGUCGUUGGAUAACACAAACGGCAGCGAGCAGGACUUCAUAAGCCAGAAUUAUCUCACUGUACAUAGUUUUCCAAGCACCAUCAAUAUCCCCUCUGUGAGAAUAGAAGAGGAUAAGGAUCCUGACUGUUCCGUCGGCAGCAUCACGACCAUCGACAGCACCCCACCGCCCAAGUCGUUCGCACGCAGGCCGACUCUCGCUAAAUUACACAACUUCACGACAAUGACACCGCAGGAGAUCGCUCAGUGGAUCGACAAGCGUAGUAGAAUAGUGUUCCCUGUGUCCUUCAUCAUAUUCAACAUUCUUUAUUGGUCAUUCAUAUGGAUAUAAAAUCAUAUCUGCAAUGCGUAACUCGCGUGAACACGUCGCGCCGAAACUUCAACGACGAAGACAAUUCCUCAUAAGGAAGAUCGAGAGAACGAUUACGGUAGGGCGUGUUCGCCCGUGACUUUACGAGAAUGGAUAUUCGAGAAACUACUGUAAGAGACAGACUGAUGUGGAGGUCAUUUUUGGCCGUAUGAUGGAAGGGCGCUGGAUGGACGACACACGCUAUUUUCUUACAGUGAAAAUUCCCAUGCCACAUUACUAGUGUAAUUAAUCGACUGGUAAAGCGAUUUCACGCGGUCUUAAAAUAGCCGUCUUUACAUUCACGAAUCGCUUCUUUUUCUUCAAUCGCGGUACGCUUAUCGAAAGCGAGAGAAAGCUCACUGUUAUAUUAACUCACAUUACGUCAAUACAUAGAACUCUAUCAUAUAGUAUAAUGCAACCUUACACAUACGCACGUAUUUACGCGCAUCACCGUUUAAGUUUGGCAACACAUACGUACACGUACUCAUUGUUAUUUCCGCGAAGAUUCUGCCGAUGCAAUUAAUAAUCUAUAGCGCCUUGGUAUUCGGAGGUCAGAGGUAGCCACUCUUUUUCCAUCAUAUAAUACUUGUUUAAUAUUCUCCAAAUACCGAUCGGCGAUAUCUGAUCGGUUUAAUAUCCGAUCUUUACAUCGGAGAUACGGUUGGAAUUAACAUAAAUCGCACAAAUGAAAGCACAUAGAAUAGUUUAAUGUUAAAACAUGUAAGAUAAGAGUUAUCAUAGAUACGAGAACUCGAGAAAUUGGUUAUAUUCAAAAGGAAACUUCAAGUUGUCUGUAAAUGCUAAAAUUUUGCCAAAUUCAUUACUGUGUCUGUCGCUGUAUGACAGUGAAAGUUUCGCGCUGUAUGAGUCAUCAAUAAACAGGCCGUUCAUACUCUUA